CUCUAUAGUGCCUGCACACAACAGGGGCUCAAUAUCUAUUUUAAAAAACAUUUAGUCUGAUCUCGGAAGCUAAGCAGGGUCGCGCCUGGUUAGUACUUGGAUGAGAGACCACCUAGGAAGACCAGGUGCUGUAGGCG
Molecule: ribosomal RNA, 137 nt
Organism: Pteropus vampyrus (large flying fox)
Lineage: Eukaryota; Metazoa; Chordata; Mammalia; Chiroptera; Pteropodidae
Source: Ensembl